CCUACGGGCGGCAGCAGUGAGGAAUAUUGGUCAAUGGGCGCAACUCUGAACCAGCCAAGUCGCGUGAAGGAUGAAGGUUCUAUGGAUCGUAAACUUCUUUUAUAAGGGUAUAAACUGCGGCACGUGUCCCGUAUUGUAUGUCCCUUAUGAAUAAGGAUCGGCUAACUCCGUGCCAGCAGCCGCGGUCAUACGGAGGCUCCGAGCGUUAUCCGGAUUUAGUGGGUUUAAAGGGUGCGUAGGCGGCCUAUUAAGUGAGCGGUGAAAUGCCGUGGCUCAACCAUGGAAUUGCCGUUGAAACUGGGAGGCUUGAGUGUGUUGGAGGCAGGCGGAAUGCGUGGUGUAGCGGUGAAAUGCUUAGAUAUCACGAAGAACACCGAUUGCGAAGGCAGCCUACCAAGCCAUGACUGACGCUGAGGCACGAAAGCGUGGGGAUCAAACAGGAUUAGAUACCCUAGUAGUC
This 460-nucleotide ribosomal RNA is filed under the name uncultured bacterium. Its description in RNAcentral is "partial 16S ribosomal RNA". It matches the Rfam family "Bacterial small subunit ribosomal RNA", at positions 338 to 795 of the family's 1533-position model. The record is from RNAcentral.